RNAcentral lists this ribosomal RNA (465 nucleotides) under uncultured bacterium. RNAcentral describes it as "partial 16S ribosomal RNA". It matches the Rfam family "Bacterial small subunit ribosomal RNA", at positions 28 to 507 of the family's 1533-position model. The record is from RNAcentral.
GAUGAACGCUGGCGGCGUGCUUAACACAUGCAAGUCGAACGGAAAGGCUCCUGCUUGCAGGGGUACUCGAGUGGCGAACGGGUGAGUAACACGUGGGUGAUCUGCCCUGCACUUCGGGAUAAGCCUGGGAAACUGGGUCUAAUACCGGAUAGGACCACAUUUUGGAUGGUGUGGUGGAAAGUUUUUCGGUGUGGGAUGAGCUCGCGGCCUAUCAGCUUGUUGGUGGGGUAAUGGCCUACCAAGGCGUCGACGGGUAGCCGGCCUGGGAGGGUGUACGGCCAAAUUGGGACUGGGAUACGGCCCCAGAUCCUAAGGGAAGGAGGAGUGGGGGAUAAUGCAACAUGGGGGGAAGCCUGAUGCAGCGACGCCGCGUGGGGGAUGACGGCCUUCGGGUUGUAAACUCCUUUCGCUAGGGACGAAGCGCAAGUGACGGUACCUGGAGAAGAAGCACCGGCUAACUACGUG